UAGGGAAUCUUCCGCAAUGGGCGAAAGCCUGACGGAGCAACGCCGCGUGAGUGAUGAAGGUCUUCGGAUCGUAAAACUCUGUUAUUAGGGAAGAACAAAUGUGUAAGUAACUAUGCACGUCUUGACGGUACCUAAUCAGAAAGCCACGGCUAACUACGUGCCAGCAGCCGCGGUAAUACGUAGGUGGCAAGCGUUAUCCGGAAUUAUUGGGCGUAAAGCGCGCGUAGGCGGUUUUUUAAGUCUGAUGUGAAAGCCCACGGCUCAACCGUGGAGGGUCAUUGGAACCUGGAAAACUUGAGUGCAGAAGAGGAAAGUGGAAUUCCAUGAGUAGCGGUGAAAUGCGCAGAGAUAUGGAGGAACACCAGUGGCGAAGGCGACUUUCUGGUCUGUAACUGACGCUGAUGUGCGAAAGCGUGGGGAUCAAACAGG
This 429-nucleotide ribosomal RNA is filed under the name Actinomycetes bacterium. RNAcentral describes it as "Actinobacteria bacterium partial 16S ribosomal RNA". It matches the Rfam family "Bacterial small subunit ribosomal RNA", at positions 355 to 776 of the family's 1533-position model. The record is from RNAcentral. Lineage: Bacteria; Bacillati; Actinomycetota; Actinomycetes.